RNAcentral lists this ribosomal RNA (761 nucleotides) under Candidatus Phytoplasma solani. RNAcentral describes it as "bacterial SSU rRNA". It matches the Rfam family "Bacterial small subunit ribosomal RNA", at positions 429 to 1201 of the family's 1533-position model. The record is from RNAcentral. Lineage: Bacteria; Bacillati; Mycoplasmatota; Mollicutes; Acholeplasmatales; Acholeplasmataceae.
AGUUCUUUUAUUAGGGAAGAAAAGAUGGUGGAAAAACCAUUAUGACGGUACCUAAUGAAUAAGCCCCGGCUAACUAUGUGCCAGCAGCCGCGGUAAUACAUAGGGGGCAAGCGUUAUCCGGAAUUAUUGGGCGUAAAGGGUGCGUAGGCGGUUAAAUAAGUUUAUGGUCUAAGUGCAACGCUCAACGUUGUGAUGCUAUAAAAACUGUUUAGCUAGAGUUGGAUAGAGGCAAGUGGAAUUCCGUGUGUAGUGGUAAAAUGCGUAAAUAUACGGAGGAACACCAGAAGCGAAGGCGGCUUGCUGGGUCUUAACUGACGCUGAGGCACGAAAGCGUGGGGAGCAAACAGGAUUAGAUACCCUGGUAGUCCACGCCCUAAACGAUGAGUACUAAACGUUGGAUAAAACCAGUGUUGAAGUUAACACAUUAAGUACUCCGCCUGAGUAGUACGUACGCAAGUAUGAAACUUAAAGGAAUUGACGGGACUCCGCACAAGCGGUGGAUCAUGUUGUUUAAUUCGAAGGUACCCGAAAAACCUCACCAGGUCUUGACAUGCUUUUGCAAAGCUGUAGAAAUACAGUGGAGGUUAUCAGAAGCACAGGUGGUGCAUGGUUGUCGUCAGCUCGUGUCGUGAGAUGUUGGGUUAAGUCCCGCAACGAGCGCAACCCUUGUUGUUAAUUGCCAUCAUUAAGUUGGGGACUUUAGCAAGACUGCCAAUGAUAAAUUGGAGGAAGGUGGGGACGACGUCAAAUCAUCAUGCCCC